GGACACAGCAUGGACAUGAGGGCCCCCGCUCAGCUCCUGGGGCUCCUGCUGCUCUGGCUCCCAGGUUCCCAAUGUGACAUCCAGGUGACCCAGUCUCCAUCGUUUCAUUCUGCAUCCAUAGGAGACACUGUCAGCAUCAGGUGCAAUGCCAGUCAGAGCAUAGGUAGUGAUUUAGCCUGGUAUCAACAGAAACCAGGGAAAGCUCCCAAACUCCUGAUCUAUUAUGCAAGCAGUUUGGCAUCUGGGAUCCCACAGAGGUUCAGUGGCAGUGGAUCUGGGACAGAUUUCACUCUCACCAUCAGCAGUGUGGAGGCUGAAGAUGUUGGAACUUAUUACUGUCAGCAGUAUGAUAGUACACCGUAUACUUUCGGCGGCGGGACCAAGCUGGAAAUCAAACGGACUGUGGCUCAGCCAACUGUCUCCAUCUCCCCACCAUCAAGUGAGGAGUUGACUUCUGGAAGUGCCACAAUUGUGUGCUUUAUUAAUAACUUCUAUCCAAAAAAUAUCAAUGUCAAGUGGAAGGUGGAUGGCGCUGAAAGUCAAAAAGUCCCUCAGAACAGCUUCACAGAGCAGGACAGCAAGGACAGCACCUACAGCCUCAGCAGCACCCUGACACUGCCCACCACAGAGUACAAUCAGCAUAACGUCUUCACCUGCGAGGUCUCCCAAGAGGGGGGCCAACCCAUCACCAAGAGCUUCAACAAGAAUGAGUGUUAAAGCCCCGGGCCCAACAGGCACCAUGUCUGCCCCUUGGGCCCACCCAGCCUCAAGCUUCCUCCUCAGACCCUUAGCCCUUUCCCAGAGGGACCUACCCUGUCUCUAUCUCUGUCCUCCAGCCCCUCUCCCCACCUCCCCACCUCCCCCUCCUUAGCUUUAAUCAUGCUGAUACUUGGGGGAAACGAUGAAUAAAAUGAAUCUUUGCACCUGAGAA
This is a non-coding RNA of Fukomys damarensis (Damara mole-rat), 931 nucleotides long. NCBI's taxonomy places the organism in Eukaryota, Metazoa, Chordata, Mammalia, Rodentia, Bathyergidae. The record is from the annotation of a RefSeq genome assembly.